CCUACGGGUGGCAGCAGUGAGGAAUAUUGGUCAAUGGACGAGAGUCUGAACCAGCCAAGCAGCGUGAAGGAUGACUGCCCUAUGGGUUGUAAACUUCUUUUAUACGGGGAUAAAAUGUUCCACGUGUGGGGUGUUGUAUGUACCAUAUGAAUAAGGAUCGGCUAACUCCGUGCCAGCAGCCGCGGUAAUACGGAGGAUCCGAGCGUUAUCCGGAUUUAUUGGGUUUAAAGGGUGCGUAGGUGGAUUGUUAAGUCAGUUGUGAAAGUUUGGGGCUCAACCGUAAGAUUGCCGUUGAAACUGGCAGUCUUGAGUACAGUAGAGGUAGGCGGAAUUCGUGGUGUAGCGGUGAAAUGCUUAGAUAUCACGCAGAACUCUGAUUGCGAAGGCAGCUCACUGGACUGCAACUGACACUGAGGCACGAAAGUGUGGGUAUCAAACAGGAUUAGAUACCCCAGUAGUC
Molecule: ribosomal RNA, 460 nt
Filed under: uncultured bacterium
Lineage: Bacteria
Description: partial 16S ribosomal RNA
Rfam family: Bacterial small subunit ribosomal RNA
Source: RNAcentral